AGUUUGAAUAAAUUCUCUCAUCCUAUCAACAUGUACAAUCACACACACUUUUUGAGGUCUUUUAGGGUUGUAACGGGGCUUUGGUUUAGGUAGGGUAUGAAAUUGGAACAAGGGUUUUUUUUUUCUUUUGGGUUGUAACGGGGUUUUGGUUUAGGUAGGCUAUGAAAUUUGAACAAAGGUUUUUGGGUUCAGAGUACAUGAAAUCAUUCUCUCACUACGUUUCUUUUCUAUUAUUCCUGUAGGAUUAUGCACUCCUCUUUUCCUUUUAUAUAUAGUGAAUGUAGCAUCUUUCAAAAGCUGUUCUUUUAUUGUUUUUCGCUUUUCUCUUUCUUUCUUUUCAUGUUGUUGUUGUUGUUUUUUUUCUUUUUCUCUUCUUUUUUUUUUCUUUUAUACUACAUUCACUUACUAUUCACGUACUGCAAAGCUAACCCAAACUUAAAGGUUGUUAUUCCAACAGCAACCCCAAACUUAGAUAGAAACGUAGAGAUGAAAUCAAUCCUCACAUACUCUGAACAGGGUAGGAUAGGUACAAGGUCAUGGCUUUUAG
RNAcentral lists this long non-coding RNA (547 nucleotides) under Lathyrus oleraceus (garden pea). RNAcentral's name for it is "Pisum sativum (pea) long non-coding RNA (PSAT_LNC015341)". Lineage: Eukaryota; Viridiplantae; Streptophyta; Magnoliopsida; Fabales; Fabaceae. The record is from RNAcentral.